GUGUGGGAAGCUCCUGUGCGCAGCGAGAGCGGCCGGCUGAAGUCACUGCGUUGUUCUUUCUUUUCCAAGUUGAUAGUGGGUCCCGGUCCUGCGGUCUUGCUUUGUUUUGCAAAUCGCAGAAUCACAGAACGGGGGAGGAUGGAAGGGACUGCAAUGGGUCAACUGGUCCAAGCUCCCUGCUCAAGCAGCACUUGGCACAGGAUCCCAUCCGGAUGACUCUUGAGUAUCUCCUGUGAGGGAGGCUCCACAACCUCUCUGGGCACCUGAUCCAGUGCAUGGUCACCCACACAAGAGAGUUUUUCCUCAUGUUCAGGUGGAACUUCUGUGCAUCCAUUUCUGCCCAUUGCCUCUUGCCCUGUUGCUUAGCACCACUGAUGAGAGCCUGGCUCCACCUUCCUUCAGAUACUGAUAGACAUUGAAGAAGUCCACACUCAAUCAUCUGUUCUUGAGGCCAAACAGGCCCACUCCCUCAGCCUAUCGUCCAGCUGAUCAUUCAUCCUUAUUGCACUCCACUGGUUGCUCCAGGAGCUCCACAUCUCCCUUGUAUUGAGGAACCAAGAACUAACACACCACUUCUGAUACAGUCUCACCAGGGCUGAGUAGAGGAGCAGAAUCAACCCCCUCGAGCUGCUGGCCGUGCUCUUCCUAGAGCACAGGACACCAUUAGCCUUCUUGGCCACAAGGACACGGCUGGCCCAUGGCUUGCUGCCCACCAGGACCCCCAGGUCUUUCUCUGCAGAGCUGCUUUCCAGCAGGUCAGUGGUAAUGAUAAGCUCCCACCUCAAAGGGUGGAACCUGAUGUAUGUCUAUUUUUUUCCCUCCUUCGUGUCAGUGAAGAACUUGGAAACCAGCAGAAGCGCUCCAGGAUUAAGGAUAAUUUUUGGUCAUGGAAUAGUCAAUGGUGAAGAUACCUUCCAGUGAGAUGCCACCAUGAAGUGCAGACAGCAGGUGACUUCAGUGAGUGAUUCAAUGAGGCCCCUUCUGAAGACUCAGUGCCCAUUUGCAUGGAGCUGCCAGAGGAGCUGUGUCAGCUGGCAGAAUACAGAAACUGAGAAGGGAGAAAGUAAUAGAAGACUACAGAAUGAAUGAGGAUGGUCUUUUGAUCCAACCAGCCAUGGAAUUUAAUAGAGGGAAACAAUCCACAGAAACUACAGAGAUGAUGGUGAUUGCUUUCCCACAAAAAAAAAAAAAAAAAGGCAAAAAAGCAGGGUCUCAAAACACAUCCUUCAACAAUCAAGGAUGUACUUUUGUACUUUGUCAAAUUGAUAUGGUAAAACCUGUGGGAGGACUUUAAACUGACCUCAAGCAGACUGUAUGAAUUUGAUUUCUGACACAGGUGAUUUGAUGAGCUUAGAUUGGAUGUUUGGAGACAUCCAAGUGAAAAAAAGAGGCUACUCCCCAUGCAGAGGUGUCCAACAAAAGCUCCUGACUUUACAAUGACAGAUAAUUCAACAUUCCACUGUUGAAUGGAAAUAACGAUGGUCUGUCUUUUGGAGGGAAUUCCUGCUGUGUCUGGCUGUUCUUCUCUAGGUCUAUUUUUGAGAUUCAUUCUUUCUGAGAGCUAUUUUUGAUUUUAGAAGAGUGACUUUUCUUUUUCUUGCAUUGUUAACAGACCACUUCCUUAAACUGUAUUAGUUCUUUUGCUACCUGUUGCAGGUAUGUAAAACUCAUUAGAGCAGCUUCCUGCUGGAAGCUGCAGACCACCACCACCACUGUUGUUCACCACGCUGCCACAUCCAGCUCUGUGGAUAAGGCUGUAACACCACUGUGCUGUGUGGUGUGUGUAAAAAGCACUUUAGAAGGUAAAGACCAGUCCCUCCCCAGGCAAAAUAAAGUAUUAGGGCAAAACUACUGCUCUGUCACAGGACAAAAUUAAUGUGGGCCGUGCCUCAGUCUCAGAACAAGCUUUCUGACAUAUCAGCGAACACUGAAUGUAGAAUAGGGAAGAAUGGAGAAGGAUCAAAGGUGACUGUGCCAACCAGAUGGCAGUCCAUGAACAAUCUGGGCAUCAGGCUGCAAAGGUGGGAAUAAUAAUGACACCAGCUUGGAAGGGAUGUGACAUCGGUAUGUCAGUACGUGCCACUCGCUACCUGUUUGCGUUGGUUUUCUUUGAUGCAAAUUGGUGUGACUGUGCUUAUGAUGUAUCUAAGCAUUUAAAAAGUAUUUUUGGGGAAACAUGUUGGUUUUCUGGUGUGUUGGGUUUUUUUACCUCUCCCCACAAAGUACUAGAUUGGCACUAUUUAAAUAGGUUUUCAUUUGAAACUGUAAGUCAGACUUCUUCACUUGGCAGAGUGAUAGAAAAACUGCCAAGGUUUUCUUUGUCAUUAAACUGAAGGAAGAUUUUUCCAAGCAGUCAUGGGUUAUCACAGAUCAGUGGGGUACAGUGUGGAACAUGCAGGCUCUUCUGUCAGAGACAGCUCAAGAGCACUUAGGUUGUAUUUCCACAACAGGGUCCAUGCAGUCCUAUUACCAGACAGAAAAUAGUGAUAUGUCAGGUAAGGGAAAGAGGGGGGGGAAGAGGAGCUGAGAGAUGAAGGCAUCAAGUCUGGGAUGCAGUAUGGAAUGUUUUUACAUGAUACAAAGUAAUUGUUGGGCUACCCUUCUCUUACCCUUGAUAAGAGACUGAGUGCUUUCUCAGCCUCUUCCAAGGACUUGAUCUCUGACUGGAAUGGCAUUAUCAUGGAAUAACAGUUCCAGAGAGGGACUUCUCAGUCCAGUUGCAUCUGUGCCACUAUAAUGACUAAAGUAGCAAA
Long non-coding RNA from Zonotrichia leucophrys gambelii, 2753 nucleotides. RefSeq lists it as uncharacterized. The record is from RefSeq and is a predicted model, not a curated record. The transcript is spliced from 3 exons. Lineage: Eukaryota; Metazoa; Chordata; Aves; Passeriformes; Passerellidae.